AGAGUUUGAUCCUGGCUCAGGAUGAACGCUGGCGGUCUGCUUAACACAUGCAAGUCGAACGGGCUCUUCGGUGCUCGGGGGAGACGGGUGUGUAACGUGUGAGGAUCUGCCUUCGUGAAGGGGAUACCCUGGGGAAACGGACGCUACUCCGCACAUGCCUACGGGUAAAAAAUUUAUCGCCCGCAUAUGAAUUCGCGUCUGAUUAGCUAACUGGCGGGGUAACAUCCUACCAAGGCCACGAUUUGUAGCUGGACUGACCAGAUGAUCACUCACACUGGGACUGAAAUCCUGCCCAAACUCCUACUGGAGGCUCCUAUGGGGAAUUUUCCACCCUGAUCUCACCCUUGACCGAGCGUGACCGCGGGCCGAAUGACGGCCUACUGUUUGUCCACGGCUUUUCUCGGGGAAAAUGAUGACAGAACCCUAGGAAUCCUCCUCGGCUAACUCCGUGCCAACACCCACGAUGAUACCGAUGACGCAAAUUUUAGCCCGAAUUAUUGCCCCUAGUGCGUCUUUAAGUGGUUAUUCAAAUCUGCUGUCUUAACUUGGUGCUUGACUCCGAAAAUGCAUUGCAAACUGGAUGACUUGAUUGAGGUAAGUCUCGAUGUAAUUCCCAGUGGAGCGGAGAUCUGCAUAAAUAUUGGUAACAACACCGCUGUCCAGAACGCUCACUUGCGCCUGCGCUGACACUCUAGGACAACAACUGGGAUAACAAACCCCAUUAGAUAUCCCUGUAAUCCUAGCAUACAACGAUGGAUACGAAGUGUUGCUCGCUGUCCACACGCUCAGUCCCUUAGUAUACCCGUUAAGUAUCCCGCCUGCAGAUGUACACUCUCAA
Molecule: ribosomal RNA, 838 nt
Filed under: uncultured organism
Description: bacterial SSU rRNA
Rfam family: Bacterial small subunit ribosomal RNA
Source: RNAcentral